GUGGGGAAUUUUGGACAAUGGGGGAAACCCUGAUCCAGCCAUGCCGCGUGCAGGAUGAAGGCCUUCGGGUUGUAAACUGCUUUUGUACGGAACGAAAAGGUCCUUUCUAAUAAAGAGGGCUCAUGACGGUACCGUAAGAAUAAGCACCGGCUAACUACGUGCCAGCAGCCGCGGUAAUACGUAGGGUGCAAGCGUUAAUCGGAAUUACUGGGCGUAAAGCGUGCGCAGGCGGUUUUGUAAGACAGGCGUGAAAUCCCCGGGCUCAACCUGGGAAUUGCGCUUGUGACUGCAAGGCUGGAGUGCGGCAGAGGGGGAUGGAAUUCCGCGUGUAGCAGUGAAAUGCGUAGAUAUGCGGAGGAACACCGAUGGCGAAGGCAAUCCCCUGGGCCUGCACUGACGCUCAUGCACGAAAGCGUGGGGAGCAAACAGGAUUAGAUACCCUUGUAGUCC
This 450-nucleotide ribosomal RNA is filed under the name uncultured bacterium. Its description in RNAcentral is "partial 16S ribosomal RNA". It matches the Rfam family "Bacterial small subunit ribosomal RNA", at positions 354 to 796 of the family's 1533-position model. The record is from RNAcentral.